UUAGUUUAAUUCUAACUAAAAAAUUAGUACUAUUAAUAAACUUUAUGCUCAAUAUUUAGUAAAUCAUUAAAAUAUAAAUAUUUAAAUAUAUACAUAUUUUUAGCAGAAGUUAAAAUUAUUCUAUACGUUAAAGCGUGAAAUGGUCUAAACCAAUUUAUUGGUAAAAUUUGUGCCAGCAACAGCGGUUAUACAAUAGAUAUCUAACAACUAAAAUCUACUAAGGUAAAAUAUACCUUAAUAAAAGGUGAAAUUUCUUUAAUCAAUUAAGUAUUAACAUUACCAAAAAUAAACUAUAAACCAAAACAAGGAUUAGAUACCCUUCUAUUAUUAGCUCAGAACUAGAUUGGAGACUACAAGCAAUAGCUUAAAAACCUAAGAAUUUGGCGGUGUUUUAUUCAAUCAGGGGGACCUGUACUUUAAAUCGACAGUCCACGAUAAACUCUAUCUAAUUUUAAUAUACUAGCUUGUGUACUGCCGUCUAAUAAGCCCUUUAGGUAUUCUUAUAAUAAAUAAAAAAUUAUAAGUCAGGUCAUAGUGCAGCCUAUAAUUAGAUAGUAUAUGGGUCACAAUCCUAAUAAUAAGUUAAUAAUAUAAAAUUAAUUUUUAUAAUAAAUUUAGGACUUGAUAGUAAUUAUAGAAUUGUUUAUACUAUAAUGAAUAUGAACUUAAAACAAGUACACAUCGCCCGUCACUCCUUUAUAUAGGAUAAGUCGUAACAUAGUAGAUAUAAUGGAAAUUGUAUCUGU
Molecule: non-coding RNA, 746 nt
Filed under: Orobdella meisai
Lineage: Eukaryota; Metazoa; Annelida; Clitellata; Hirudinida; Orobdellidae
Source: RNAcentral